GACGAACGCUGGCGGCGUGCUUAAUACAUGCAAGUCAACUGAACUUAAGGUAGUAAUAUCUUAAGAGAGGUGGCGCACGGGUGAGUAACACGUAGGUAAUCUGCCUUUAGGUCUGACAUAACCUAUCGAAAGGUAGGCUAAUAUCAGAUGAUGCAGCGGCUCGACAUCGAGACAGUUGUUAAACCUUCGGGGCCUAAAGAUGAGCCUGCGUCUGAUUAGGUAGNGGCGGAGUAAAAGCCCACCAAGCCUGCGAUCAGUAGCUGGUCUGAGAGGAUGAUCAGCCACACUGGAACUGAGACACGGUCCAGACUCCUACGGGAGGCAGCAAGUAAGGAAUAUUGCU
Molecule: ribosomal RNA, 343 nt
Filed under: uncultured bacterium
Lineage: Bacteria
Description: bacterial SSU rRNA
Rfam family: Bacterial small subunit ribosomal RNA
Source: RNAcentral